UCCAGAAGCUGUCAGGUUCUG
This 21-nucleotide non-coding RNA is filed under the name Mus musculus (house mouse). The record is from RNAcentral. Lineage: Eukaryota; Metazoa; Chordata; Mammalia; Rodentia; Muridae.